CCUACGGGUUGCAGCAGUGGGGAAUAUUGCACAAUGGGCGCAAGCCUGACGCAGCCAUGCCGCGUGUAGGAAGAAGGCCUUCGGGUUGUAAAGUACUUUCAGCGGGGAGGAAGGUGUUGUGGUUAAUAACCACAGCAAUUGACGUUACCCGCAGAAGAAGCACCGGCUAACUCCGUGCCAGCAGCCGCGGUAAUACGGAGGGUGCAAGCGUUAAUCGGAAUUACUGGGCGUAAAGCGCACGCAGGCGGUCUGUCAAGUCGGAUGUGAAAUCCCCGGGCUCAACCUCGGAAUUGCAUUUGAAACUGGCAGGCUAGAGUCUUGUAGAGGGGGGUAGAAUUUCAGGUGUAGCGGUGAAAUGCGUAGAGAUCUGAAGGAAUACCAGUGGCGAAGGCGGCCCCCUGGACAAAGACUGACGCUCAGAUGCGAAAGCGUGGGGAGCAAACAGGAUUAGAUACCCGGGUAGUC
Molecule: ribosomal RNA, 465 nt
Filed under: uncultured bacterium
Lineage: Bacteria
Description: bacterial SSU rRNA
Rfam family: Bacterial small subunit ribosomal RNA
Source: RNAcentral